This 75-nucleotide transfer RNA is filed under the name Oscillochloris sp. RNAcentral's name for it is "tRNA-Lys". It matches the Rfam family "tRNA". Rfam says of the family: Transfer RNA (tRNA) molecules are approximately 80 nucleotides in length. Their secondary structure includes four short double-helical elements and three loops (D, anti-codon, and T loops). Further hydrogen bonds mediate the characteristic L-shaped molecular structure. tRNAs have two regions of fundamental functional importance: the anti-codon, which is responsible for specific mRNA codon recognition, and the 3' end, to which the tRNAs corresponding amino acid is attached (by aminoacyl-tRNA synthetases). tRNAs cope with the degeneracy of the genetic code in two manners: having more than one tRNA (with a specific anti-codon) for a particular amino acid; and 'wobble' base-pairing, i.e. permitting non-standard base-pairing at the 3rd anti-codon position. The record is from RNAcentral. Lineage: Bacteria; Bacillati; Chloroflexota; Chloroflexia; Chloroflexales; Oscillochloridaceae.
GGGCCUCUAGCUCAACGGUAGAGCAGUUGACUCUUAAUCAAUUGGUUCAGAGUUCGAAUCUCUGGGGGCCCACCA